AACGCACCUUGCGCCUUGUGGUAUUCCGCAAGGCACGCCUGUUUGAGUGUCAUGUUAUCACUCACUCUGGAGAAGUCACAUUCUUCGAGAGUGGAUUUGGGUGCUGCUGGUGAUUACAUCGGCUCGCCUUGAAAUGCAUUAGUGGUGUGAUUGGCCACAGACCUGAGGGUGUGAUACUUGAUGUUACGCCUGUGUCGUCUGAGUGCUCGCAUUGCUCAUAACCCGACGUGCUUUUUGCGUGUCAACUUUUUAAUGGAAGACCUCAAAUCAGGUGGGACUACCCGCUGAACUUAA
RNAcentral lists this unclassified non-coding RNA (294 nucleotides) under uncultured fungus. RNAcentral's name for it is "partial contains 5.8S ribosomal RNA, internal transcribed spacer 2, and large subunit ribosomal RNA". The stretch from base 1 to 52 matches the Rfam family "5.8S ribosomal RNA", at positions 103 to 154 of the family's 154-position model. The record is from RNAcentral. Lineage: Eukaryota; Fungi.